RNAcentral lists this non-coding RNA (31 nucleotides) under Mus musculus (house mouse). The record is from RNAcentral. Lineage: Eukaryota; Metazoa; Chordata; Mammalia; Rodentia; Muridae.
UCCGGUGUUUGUUUGAAGUGAGUUUAUCUCU